This is a small nucleolar RNA of Phodopus roborovskii (desert hamster), 127 nucleotides long. RefSeq annotates it as small nucleolar RNA SNORA40. The transcript has a single exon. Lineage: Eukaryota; Metazoa; Chordata; Mammalia; Rodentia; Cricetidae. The record is from RefSeq and is a predicted model, not a curated record.
AGCGCUUGCAUGUGUGUUUGUUCGUCUGGUGGUCAAAGGCAGAUUAGAUUGGCGCAAAAAUAAAUCCUCUUUCGCAACCCAGAAUUCAUUGUCAGUAUGAGUUUUGACAAGGCAGGGAAGGAAUAGG